RNAcentral lists this ribosomal RNA (502 nucleotides) under uncultured bacterium. RNAcentral's name for it is "partial 16S ribosomal RNA". It matches the Rfam family "Bacterial small subunit ribosomal RNA", at positions 29 to 523 of the family's 1533-position model. The record is from RNAcentral.
AUUGAACGCUGGCGGCAUGCUUUACACAUGCAAGUCGAACGGCAGCACGGGUGCUUGCACCUGGUGGCGAGUGGCGAACGGGUGAGUAACGCAUCGGAACGUGCCCAGAGGUGGGGGAUAGCCCGGCGAAAGCCGGAUUAAUACCGCAUACGCCCUGAGGGGGAAAGUGGGGGACCGCAAGGCCUCACGCCAUUGGAGCGGCCGAUGUUGGAUUAGCUAGUUGGUGGGGUAAAGGCCUACCAAGGCGACGAUCCAUAGCUGGUCUGAGAGGAUGAUCAGCCACACUGGGACUGAGACACGGCCCAGACUCCUACGGGAGGCAGCAGUGGGGAAUUUUGGACAAUGGGGGCAACCCUGAUCCAGCCAUGCCGCGUGAGUGAAGAAGGCCUUCGGGUUGUAAAGCUCUUUCAGUCGGGAAGAAAAGGGAUGCUCGAAUAAAGUGUCCUCAUGACGGUACCGACAGAAGAAGCACCGGCUAACUACGUGCCAGCCGCCGCCGUAA